AAUAUAAAAAAAUAAAAUUAAAAACCCCACACCCACACCUGGGCGUAUGUGGGUGUUCGACCAGAGAAGAGAAAGAAGGGGGAAACCCCUUCUCAAACCCUAAUCGACCAAAUUGGAUGGAUUUUGGCUGAAAUCGAACUUGCAUGAACAAGAUUCUUGAUUGUUCAACUCUGUAAAACACAUGGAAUCCCAAUUGACAUGGACUUAAGAAUAGAAGGCUAACGGAUCAAGGGUAAAUAAAGAAGCUAUGCACAACUCGGACGCACGAUGUAUAUGAACACCGGGUUCUUAAAGUAUCGAAGUCGAACUCUGAAUAAGAAAAUACGAAAGGAUAGUUAAAUAAAUCAAAGUUUCAUUGUUAAAUGUUAUUCACUAUUAGAUUAUAUGAGAAUCAUGUUGUAUAACGUUGUUAAUGACUAAUGGUUAAGUUGUAUGUGAUGUUCACAGGUAUUGCACGUAUCUCUACCACUACUAUCGAAGAUAAGCAUGCAUUGAUCGAGCCCAAAAUUAAAGGUUGUACGAGAAGAACGGCCACAUAGUCUGAUUUAUGUAUUGUCUUGAAGUGUUAACUUAAUGUGGUUAUUGUUAAUCCCUUUUUUGUAAAUGUUUAUCAUUUGUAUUUGAGCUUUUAAAUAAGUAAUGGGUCUAAAUAAGAAAGAAAAUUUUUGGGCUCAUAUUUUCCGCUGCGUCAUGUUUAAGUUCUUACAGGGAAUUGUUCAUUAUACGAACGGGUCAUGCCCGAAUUUUGUAAAUAAUAAUACUUAUUUGGAAUAAGAAUUAUGGGCGUUACAAGUUGGUAUCAGAGCCCUAGUUUGAGGGAAAUCAAGUAUGAGGAGGUAAAUACUUGAACUCAAACCUACGUGCUCUUGUAACCAGGAUCCCGUACAAUCCAGGACUCGAUCAAGAUCUAAAGGUAAAAGCGAAUGUAAGUAUGUAUUUAUGCAUGUGAAUAAAGAAACUAACGGUUUUGUAUGUGCAAGGUAAGCAUAAGUGUUUAAAGAUGAUGGUCCGUGGAUGCAGAAUAAGAUGAAUACUAAGGCAGGCAAAGAUGCAAAUAGGCAAAUUAACCCCAGGUGAGCAUGAUAUACGGAAAUGUAAUGUCACAAACUGGAAGGAAAUAGUCAAGCAAAAUAUGGAUAACAAGUCAAUGGAUUUCGACUUGUGCCAGGUAUGUAUAAAAGUUAUGCAUUUAAUAGGAGUUUAUGACUCGACUAGAGAUGGAUGCGUCAGGAUAGAAUAAUCGAUAGGCAUAUGUAAGAUUGUAUUUACAAAGUAGACUCCCGAAGGUCAAACGAAAUAUAAUGAUAAGUAAUAAAGCAAGUAAUAAAAUGCGGGUAAAAAGGUGAUUGUAGUUUGACUCUUGAGAAGACGAAUGAAGAUGAAUUGUUAAUAAUAAAAGAAGUAAUAAAGAAUGGAUAGAUUAGUUCGGUCCAUUAAGUAGGUAUGAAACAUCGAAAACGGUUGAUGUGGCAAGAAGUUGUAGUCGUAAGAAAUAAACAUUGGGUAAAUUACAAGCGUGAAAUAUGUUGAUACUUGACUCUAGAGAGUCAAAGUGAAUGACGGGUUACGACCCGGGCGAAAGACCUAAGCUUUAAUGGAAAGGACAAGUGUACGUGAGGAGCACUAAAGCAUAAAGUGAUGAAAUUAAAUAUAUGCUUGAAUUGACAAGAAGUACAAACAUGUACUUCGUUAUGUGUAUUCAUAAAAGAGAAAGAAGUGGCAGGUUGACUUUGAAAAGUCAAACUGCAGAAGUUGAUAAAUAAGUUAAAAAAAAAUUGCGGAAGAACAGUUAUGUAUUGAACCAUCGUGAAUGGGUCAAACAACUAAAAUGAUAUGUUAAGAAAUGGUCAUGUAUAGACCUAUUUUGUACAGGUGGAACACAUCAAUGUUCUACGAAGGAGUUGAGAAAGUAUUAAUAUAUAAAUAAGGAACCAAGAUGUGAUAAUCCUAGUAAGGUCAGUGAGAGAAUGUUCAUAAGCGAAAGCUCGUCACACGGAUGAAUGAGGUCAAUCCGAAACAUGGUAUGGAUGGUGACGAAGAGGACCGGCUCGUUUCUGCAUGUCCAAGUACUGCGUUAAGGAAGUAAGGAAUCCCAAUUGACAUGGACUCAAGAAUAGAAGGCUAACGGAUCAAGGGUAAAUAAAGAAGCUAUGCACAACUCGAACGCACGAUGUAAGUGAUUCCAAUUCACUUCUUAGUAUGUACGUAGUAUUUAGUAUUUAUGUGUAGAAAAAUAUGCAAGAAUCAUGUAAUGAAUGAGAAGUAUUGAGGUAAGUAUUAUUUUAGUAUAACAAAGGAGUUGUUUAUAAUGAAAGUAAACUUGUAGGAUUAGACUGGUCAAAUAAUGUAUAAAGGGGUUUAUAAGCCGUUUGCUUAUAAAUCAGAUUUUGAUGCGUCGCGAAGUGAUAAACAGAUCCGCAAUUAAAUUACGGGCGCGUAGGAAAAAGAAUCGGGUAAAACGGAUCAAAAAUGAGAGAGUUAUGUCCGUUUCGGUAAGAAUUAAUGGCUGGGAAAAGUGCAGAGCUGACACGGCCGGGUGGUGAGCUGACAGGGCCGGGUGAAUGUUCUGUGAAAAAUUUAUGGUUAGUUGACACGGCCGGGUGGUUAACCCGACCCUGCCGGGUGAAGGGGCUGAAAAUAAAAAUAAAAAAAUAAUAUAUGUAAGUAGGAAGUGGUUGCUAUGAAUGCACGUAAAAAUUAGGAAUGUAUACGUUUGUGAAUGCGAAAUCUUAUAAAUGUAUGAAGAAAUGGUACGGAAUGGUUUCAUUAUGUUCGAGCAUUAAUGAUUGCUAAUGGUGUCUUUGAGAUUGAAAUGCAUUGCAGGUAUAUGAACACCGGGUUCUUAAAGUAUCGAAGUCGAACUCUGAAUAAGAAAAUACGAAAGGAUAGUUAAAUAAAUCAAAGUUUCAUUGUUAAAUGUUAUUCACUAUUAGAUUAUAUGAGAAUCAUGUUGUAUAACGUUGUCAAUGACUAAUGGUUAAGUUGUAUGUGAUGUUCACAGGUAUUGCACGUAUCUCUACCACUACUAUCGAAGAUAAGCAUGCAUUGAUCGAGCCCAAAAUUAAAGAUUGUAUGAGAAGAACGGCCAGAUAGUCUGAUUUAUGUAUUGUCUUGAAGUGUUAACUUAAUGUGGUUAUUGUUAAUCCCUUUUUUGUAAAUGUUUAUCAUUUGUAUUUGAGCUUUUAAAUAAGUAAUGGGUCUAAAUAAGAAAGAAAAUUUUUGGGCUCAUAUUUUCCGCUGCGUCAUGUUUAAGUUCUUACAGGGAAUUGUUCAUUAUACGAACGGGUCAUGCCCGAAUUUUGUAAAUAAUAAUACUUAUUUGGAAUAAGAA
Helianthus annuus (common sunflower) is the source of this 3331-nucleotide long non-coding RNA. RefSeq lists it as uncharacterized. The record is from RefSeq and is a predicted model, not a curated record. The transcript has 5 exons. Lineage: Eukaryota; Viridiplantae; Streptophyta; Magnoliopsida; Asterales; Asteraceae.